Non-coding RNA from Archocentrus centrarchus (flier cichlid), 449 nucleotides. NCBI's taxonomy places the organism in Eukaryota, Metazoa, Chordata, Actinopteri, Cichliformes, Cichlidae. The record is from the annotation of a RefSeq genome assembly.
AUGUUCUCUGUAGCUGUGAUCCUGCUGCUGGCUGCUGCAUCCUGUGUUGAUGCUCAGACUCUGAGAGAAUCUGAACCGGUGGUUAAAAGGCCCGGAGAGUCUCACACACUGACCUGCACAGACUAUGGAUUCCUCUCUGGAUUCACAUUCAGCAGCUACAGGAUGGUUUGGGUCAGACAGGCUCCUGGAAAAGGGCUGGAGUGGAUUGCUUAUAUCAGCACAGCUAGCACUCCUAUCUAUUACUCCCAGUCAGUCCAGGGUAGAUUCACCAUCUCCAGAGACGACUCCAGCAGUAAAGUCUACCUACAGAUGAGCAGUCUGAGGACUGAGGACACAGCAGUUUAUUACUGUGCCCGAUGUGACACACAGUAAGAGGAAGUAAUAGGAGAGUCAUACAAAAACUUCUUCCCUUAGUCAUCACUACCAUUGGUAACAUACAGAGUCUUAUA